Non-coding RNA from Saccharomonospora marina, 400 nucleotides. It matches the Rfam family "Bacterial RNase P class A". Rfam says of the family: Ribonuclease P (RNase P) is a ubiquitous endoribonuclease, found in archaea, bacteria and eukarya as well as chloroplasts and mitochondria. Its best characterised activity is the generation of mature 5'-ends of tRNAs by cleaving the 5'-leader elements of precursor-tRNAs. The record is from Rfam. Lineage: Bacteria; Bacillati; Actinomycetota; Actinomycetes; Pseudonocardiales; Pseudonocardiaceae.
CGAGUUGGCAGGGCGGUCGCGGUUGUCGCGAACAGCGAUGAUCGAGGAAAGUCCGGACUCCGCAGGGCAGGGUGGUUGCUAACGGCAACCCGGGGUGACCCGCGGGAAAGUGCCACAGAAAGCAAACCGCCUGGUCACCAGACCAGGUAAGGGUGAAACGGUGGUGUAAGAGACCACCAGCGUCCCGGGUGACCGGGGCGGCUCGGUAAACCCCACCCGGAGCAAGGCCAAGAGGGAGCGAUACCGCUCCUGCGCAGGCGAUUGAGGGCUGCCCGUCCGAGGCCUGCGGGUAGGCCGCUCGAGCCUGCCGGCGACGGCAGGCCCAGAUGGAUGGCCGCCCAACCCGGCCGCCCAAGGGCGGUCGGGGGGACAGAAUCCGGCUUACAUGCCAACUCGUCCA